ACAUACCGACAGCGGAUUUUUGCAUACCGGCACGGUAGCACCCGUGGAUUCGAAUGAGAUUAUAUUUGAUCCUCCCAGGUGGUGUUUCCAUCACAGGUGGUGUCCAUAUCCAAAUACUGUAUAUGGCCGAUGUAGGCCGGGAUGUAGGGGUAUCAGGGCGACCACUGCAUCACGGCUCGGACAGCACCAUGGACCAGAGGUACUCCGCCUGCACUGCACAAAUCCGAAGGGAUGCCCAAAAUACGGCCCACAUAGAAGGGGGAACAAGGAAAACGAUCAAGGAAGAGGGAGUUAGCCAACCAGGGCCACCCCACCCCUGUCAGGCACUAACCGCCAAAGCCAAAGCCACCAUUCCGUGGGGACGACUCGGAGCUCUCGACGACUUUGCAGGGCAGGGGGGCUCAUGAGGAGCCACGAGCGAGCCGGACGAGAAAUCGGUUAACCACUGAGACCAGAUCCACUCUGCGCCCUUGUUGUUCUCUUACCCUGCUUCCCGCGCGGCGUCCCUUACCCAACUACCUAUAGCGGCUUUUCACUGUUUAUUUUACUCAACUACUUGCGCACAAUCUUGCAGGAUGGGUUACGACGCAAGGGCCUGAGAUUUUUGGGUCCUAGGGGCCAAACAUCACUGUAAACCGCAGCUCUUCGCUCCCGUCGGUGUACGGCAAGAACGGCGGUGCGGAGUUCUGGCCGUUCUCGAUUGGUUUCAC
Molecule: long non-coding RNA, 710 nt
Filed under: Volvox carteri
Lineage: Eukaryota; Viridiplantae; Chlorophyta; Chlorophyceae; Chlamydomonadales; Volvocaceae
Description: long non-coding RNA (VCAR_LNC002111)
Source: RNAcentral